Molecule: non-coding RNA, 201 nt
Organism: Pelobates cultripes (western spadefoot toad)
Lineage: Eukaryota; Metazoa; Chordata; Amphibia; Anura; Pelobatidae
Source: the annotation of a GenBank genome assembly
CCACAGUUGCUUAUUAUAUAAAUUCCAAUAAUUGUUUUCACCCGCUUGAUGGUAAAUGCAUUUAGGUUCCUAGAAGUCAACAGACUCAUCAUGUGUAGGGAGGCUCAACUGCGUUGAUUGGGUGAAUAUUGCACUCCGCCACCUCUGAAUAGUGUUCUGGAUGAUGCUUAUGCCCAGAGUAUGUCCAUAUAUACAUUAAAC